UUAUAACCAUGAUGAGCAAGAACUGGGCAGCUGUUGAAUUUUGCCCGCUUCAUCCCCAAGCUGCUUUUCUGGCAAGACUCAUGUUAGGGUCCCACGAAGGCUAAUCAUUCCUAAGUCUGUGUUUCUAACCUUCAGCUCUUCCCUGCUGAUAUCUUGCAGGGACCUCAACAUUCAUACAUCCAAGGAUUAAUUCAACUUUUUCAUCUCCUAUCCCUUGUUCUGCUUUUGCUAUUCUGGUUAAUAUCCAAACCAGAGAGUUCAAAGCUACCUUCAACUUCCCACCUUCAAAUACUUUAGCCAUAGAGCUUAGGUUAAUUUCCUAUUCCCUGCCCUUGACACGGCAUGAGGAAUUAUUGAUACUUAGACAAAUAUUAAGAUCAUAAGUGUCUUUACAGAGUAUUAUCCAAAGCCACCUUGAAUUCUCCAUGUUUUGGUAAAGCUGUAAUAUUCAGAGUGAAUUUUUAAAUCUGGGGAAUUGAAUCAAUGAGUACCCAGAUUCAAAUAUCAAGUGCCGUGAUGAAAUCUGUGGUGUGGGAAUGCAAGCAGCUGAAAAGGCAGAGUUCUCAUCCAUUGACUGCUGGCACCCAGGAGAGUCAAAAUGCAAGUUGCGUAAAGAAAACUCUGAACACGUGUGGUUGAUUACAGUCAGUUUGAUUAAACACACUCAAAAGAGAGAUGAUUCCUGCUGAGCCAAUCACGAAAUGAAAACAAGCGUCUGAAAGCGUGAUGACAGAGUUGGUGACAAGGAAGCAAAUUUCACCUUGAGAUAUGAUCUUGAAUUCAACCUCGGAAUCUAUCUUCCCACCCUGGCUAUAGAUCAGAACCACCUGGAGUGCCCCCUGACCCUACAGCUGCCCUGUUUCAACCCUACUCCCCUCACCACCAAUUUUGAGGCUUUAGACGUGGAAUGCAUUUGGAAAACAUGCAUUUAUUUUAAGUUGCCCAGGUCACAGGAUCCUCCCCUGCAGAAGGAGGGGUGAGCUUCACGAUGUUGGGCCCCAUGUCCUGCUUCCACACAAGGUCUGACAGAAAGGUCCUGGAUCUGAGAGAUGGGACACCUGGCCAUGCAUAGCACAUAGUAGGCAUGCACAACAAAAUGAAUUCACUGAAUGGAGCCUGCAUUCUUGUCUUGAAUUUGUAACUAACUAGAUCAAGUGGUGGGAGUAAGGAUCUAAACCUAAGUUUUCCCAUAUGUGAAAUAGAGGAGUUAGACAAGGUCACCAUGACUAUACCUUUUGGUUCUCAGAUUCUAUCAUUUUAUUAUUUUAUAUCCUAUCUACCCAGAGCUUGAUCUUCCUGUAUGAGGCCUGAUUGUUAGUAAACUGAUCCAUGAAAGGGUGCUGGGGAACCUCUUUGAGUAUCAUUGCUGUUAUCUACAAAGGCAGACAAUAAUCCUAGGGCUGUUUUGUGAUUCGAAUGAAAGAAAGGAAUGAAGUUCCUAGAAAUAUUAAUGACACAUGCCCCAAAAACGAUAGUUGUUGCUAUUUUCAUCAUUAAAUAACAACUUUUCCUCUUUUAGUUAAUAGAGCUUUGCUAAAUUGUGUGUGUGUGUGUGUGCGUGUGUGUAUGUGUUCAGUCAUUCAAGUCAUGUCCAGAUCUUUUCGACCCUGUGGCUCCUCUGUCUGUGGGAUUCUCCAGGCAAGAAUACUGGAGUGGGUUGCCAUGCCCUCCUCCGGGGGAUCUUCCCAACCCAGGGAUCAAACCCCAUGUUUCUUAUGUCUCCUGCAUUGCCAGGUGGAUUCUUUACCACUAGAAUCACUUGGGAAGCCCUUGCUAAAUUAACUGGCCUUAAAUUAAC
Long non-coding RNA from Bos taurus (domestic cattle), 1798 nucleotides. Lineage: Eukaryota; Metazoa; Chordata; Mammalia; Artiodactyla; Bovidae. The record is from Ensembl.